Molecule: ribosomal RNA, 373 nt
Filed under: uncultured bacterium
Lineage: Bacteria
Description: bacterial SSU rRNA
Rfam family: Bacterial small subunit ribosomal RNA
Source: RNAcentral
GUAGUCCACGCCGUAAACGAUGAGCACUAGUUGUUGGGUACGAAUGUAUUCAGUGACGCAGUUAACGCAAUAAGUGCUCCGCCUGGGGAGUACGGUGGCAACACUAAAACUCAAAGGAAUUGACGGGGACCCGCACAAGCAGCGGAGCAUGUGGUUUAAUUCGAAGCAACGCGAAAAACCUUACCAGGGCUUGACAUCCCUCUGACCGGCACUUAACCGUGCCUUUCUUCGGACAGAGGUGACAGGUGGUGCAUGGUUGUCGUCAGCUCGUGUCGUGAGAUGUUGGGUUAAGUCCCGCAACGAGCGCAACCCUUGUCGUCAGUUACUAACAUUCAGUUGAGGACUCUGACGAGACUGCCGAGGUCAACUCGGA